RNAcentral lists this transfer RNA (91 nucleotides) under Segatella oris F0302. RNAcentral describes it as "Prevotella oris F0302 tRNA-Ser". It matches the Rfam family "tRNA". Rfam says of the family: Transfer RNA (tRNA) molecules are approximately 80 nucleotides in length. The record is from RNAcentral. Lineage: Bacteria; Pseudomonadati; Bacteroidota; Bacteroidia; Bacteroidales; Prevotellaceae. RNAcentral also lists the same sequence under 1 other name.
GGAAAGGUGCUCGAGUGGUUGAAGAGGCACGCCUGGAAAGCGUGUAACCGCCUAAAGCGGUUCGUAGGUUCGAAUCCUAUCCUUUCCGCAA